GCCAGGGACACUAACGAAUCAAAGCGGCAUCCGAAGCCCAGCAAGCUGCAGCCAGGACGUCACCACGAGGGACGGUGACAAAGCCCUGCGCCAAGGGUGCCAGGCUGCUGCUCGGUGUGGCCAAAGGGCACAAACAAGCCACUUCAGGUGAUGGAAAACUUCCCGCUCGUGCUCAGCAGCUCCGGGAAGAAACUGGAUCCCAGUGCUGGCUAAUCUGGCUGAUCUGUUUGCACCGGCUGGCGUGGCACAGACCGGCUGGUGGCGAGACGGGGCAGGCAAAGCCACUCUGCCCCGUCCCAGGUCAUGCUCAGGCUGCCGGAGAGGCACCACGGUCGGAGGCUGAUGGUCUCAUCCAGACUCUGUGUUGGUCCAAUGCCGCCUCGUGCUGCCCUGGCACCUCAGGAGGAAAGCGGCUGAAUGGCAGAGCCCCACAAAAGGCAUUGCCCAGCCAGAAAUCGGGUGCAAGCCCCACACCCCCAGUGUCAUUCACACCAUCUUUGCAUUGCUGACAUAUCUUCCUCAUCCCUGUUUGACCCCCUGACGGGUGCUGGGGUGUCACCCACUGGGGAUUGCCCUGCUAAACCUCAACAAUGUUCACCCCAUGGUGAGAAGAGCUGGAAUUUAUCUCCCAGCAGCAGCCAGGUAUGGAGAAGUCACCUUAGCUCCUCCAUGCCGCGAGAUUUAGGGGCCACGUGGUGCAGCAGGUCCUGAGCCCUCCUGGCUCUGUGGUCAGGACGGUGGUCCUCCAUGUCCUGGCCAGACCGGGGUGCUGCUGUGCCGCAAGGAUGGACCAUGAGCAUCCCCCGCCUGCAGAGCGGGGAUGGACCCAUGGGACUGCCUGUGCAGAGCAGGAGGCUCUCCUUGCGUGAGGUCGGACACAUGCCUGGCAUCAGCUACCCCACAGAGGGAACACAGCCCUCUCCCUUCUCCCCUUUUCAGUAGCCAUCUGCAAACAUCAGAAUGCUGAAGCCCAGGGACAAGCCCCGGGUGUAAGUCCCUGCCAUCCCCAGGCUGCAGGGCCGGGUGAGACCCACAGCUGCAGCUGGUGCAGGAGAUUUAUUCAAAGCCAAUUGCACGUGAAAACCAGCACAAAACCCAGCCCUGAGCCCUUGGACAUCCCUGCCCAGGGCUCAGAGUCACAGAACCAAAACCCACCCCUGCCCACGAGCACCCCAAAUUCCCCCAGGGAUUCACUGUGUAUCCACCAUGAGCCCUUUCAGCCACCACCGCCAGAAUAUCCCGAUACUGUAUC
Molecule: long non-coding RNA, 1252 nt
Organism: Chroicocephalus ridibundus (black-headed gull)
Lineage: Eukaryota; Metazoa; Chordata; Aves; Charadriiformes; Laridae
Exons: 3
Source: RefSeq, a predicted model, not a curated record